RNAcentral lists this ribosomal RNA (274 nucleotides) under uncultured bacterium. RNAcentral describes it as "partial 16S ribosomal RNA". It matches the Rfam family "Bacterial small subunit ribosomal RNA", at positions 523 to 796 of the family's 1533-position model. The record is from RNAcentral.
AUACGGAGGGUCCGAGCGUUAUCCGGAAUCAUUGGGUUUAAAGGGUCCGUAGGCGGGAAUCUAAGUCAGUGGUGAAAUCUUGCAGCUCAACUGUAAAAUUGCCAUUGAUACUGGGUUUCUUGAAUUAGUGUGAAGUGGUUAGAAUGUGUAGUGUAGCGGUGAAAUGCAUAGAUAUUACACAGAAUACCAAUUGCGAAGGCAGAUCACUAACACUAUAUUGACGCUGAGGGACGAAAGCGUGGGGAGCGAACAGGAUUAGAAACCCCUGUAGUCC